RNAcentral lists this ribosomal RNA (253 nucleotides) under uncultured bacterium. RNAcentral's name for it is "partial 16S ribosomal RNA". It matches the Rfam family "Bacterial small subunit ribosomal RNA", at positions 524 to 776 of the family's 1533-position model. The record is from RNAcentral.
UACGAAGGGGGCUAGCGUUGUUCGGAAUUACUGGGCGUAAAGCGCACGUAGGCGGAUAUUUAAGUCCGGGGUGAAAUCCCAGAGCUCAACUCUGGAACUGCCUCUGAUACUGGGUAUCUUGAGUAUGGAAGAGGUAAGUGGAAUUGCGAGUGUAGAGGUGAAAUUCGUAGAUAUUCGCAGGAACACCAGUGGCGAAGGCGGCUUACUGGUCCAUUACUGACGCUGAGGUGCGAAAGCGUGGGGAGCAAACAGG